GGCUUCUCUAUCCAUAGGAUUUCCCAGGCAAGCAUCCUGGAAUGGGUUGCGUUUCCUUCUCCAGGAGAGAUCUGUGCUAACCAUAACCAUAAAAUGUCUCAAGCUCUCAGUGACCUGGGAGGCCUGACGUACUCUGCCUUAAUACUAAUACAUCUAACUCUUGGGUGCAUGAUGGUUUGGAAAUGUAAUCUGAUUUAUCUGAGCACCCUUCCAUUUUAUCAUAGUAGAGUGUAAUGGCUGAAGACACAGACUCUGAGACUUUGGGUAAAAGUCUCAGUUUGCUACUUGCUAUCUUUGUGAUUUGGACAAGUUGCUCAGACUCUCUGGGCUUGACUUUCCCACCUAUAAAUAGGAAUGAGGAUAAAAAGAGUGGUACUUAUCUCGUGCAUUUGUUUUGAGGUUUAUACAUGAGUCUACACAAGAGAAACACUUAAAACAAUGCCUGGAAUACAUAAAACACUCAGUAGUUCCUAUUAUUAUUUCUUCUACAUCCUCUCGACUGCAGUAAGCAUUCACAUAGGUUUUAUCCAAAUAUUCAUUAUUUAUCAAAUUAUAAAAUAAAGUGUCUGAAGAUGUCACAGCCUCUACAAGCUGGUUACCCUAAACUCAAUUUAUAUUUGGUUUGCUCACUUCCUGUAACCACUCUAGUCUUCAGGGAAAAGUCCUCUCUAAGUCUGAUGUAUUUUUUUAAAUCUCAAAUAUAUUCUUUCUCAGUCUGUCCCAUUUUGUUCCCAUAUCCUGAAUGCUUGAUCCAGUCACCAUUUGGUUAUCUUUCUUUUAAAUCUACCUCCUAUUGUUUUUAGGCCUUUAUUCAUUUACUCAAUAGAUAUUCAUGUAUUCACUCAUUGCUAAAUAAAUAUGUUGGAUCUUUAUUAUAUGUAAGCUUUGGAGGUAAAAUAUAAAGGUGAUAUUGUCUAUAUUUUCACAAUUUACUCAGAAAAGCAGACAAUUUAAAAAC
Molecule: long non-coding RNA, 958 nt
Organism: Bubalus bubalis (water buffalo)
Lineage: Eukaryota; Metazoa; Chordata; Mammalia; Artiodactyla; Bovidae
Exons: 2
Source: RefSeq, a predicted model, not a curated record